AAAUCUAGUUGAUCCUGCUAGAGGCUGCUGCUCUUCCGCUACGGAUAAGCCAUGCAAGUUUCUCGCGAGAGAGCAAACUGCUCAGUAACACGUAGCUAACCUGACCUUAAGCGGAGGAUAACCUCGGGAAACUGAGG
RNAcentral lists this ribosomal RNA (137 nucleotides) under Nanobdellota archaeon. RNAcentral's name for it is "partial 16S ribosomal RNA". It matches the Rfam family "Archaeal small subunit ribosomal RNA", at positions 1 to 145 of the family's 1478-position model. Lineage: Archaea; Nanobdellati; Nanobdellota. The record is from RNAcentral.